Molecule: ribosomal RNA, 3128 nt
Filed under: Deltaproteobacteria bacterium
Lineage: Bacteria; Pseudomonadati; Myxococcota; Myxococcia
Description: 23S ribosomal RNA
Rfam family: Bacterial large subunit ribosomal RNA
Source: RNAcentral
GGUCAAGCUACUAAGGGCAAACGGUGGAUGCCUAGGCGCUGAGAGGCGAUGAAGGACGUGGAUAGCUGCGAUAAGCCUCGGGAAGCCGCUAAACAGGCUUUGAUCCGGGGAUUUCCGAAUGGGGGAACCCACCCCGAGUAAUGUCGGGGUAUCCAUGACUGAAUACAUAGGUCAUGGAGGCGAACGCAGGGAACUGAAACAUCUAAGUACCUGCAGGAAAAGAAAUCAACCGAGAUUCCGCUAGUAGCGGCGAGCGAACGCGGACCAGCCUAAACCAUGGUGAUUCGUUGCCAUGGGGUUGCGGGGCCCCAAUGUGGGAUUGUGAAUGGAUAGCAGAACGAUCUGGAAAGGUCGGCCGAAGAGGGUGAUAGCCCCGUAAGCGAAAUCUUGAAGCACCCUAGGGUGUCCCCAAGUACCACGGGACACGGGAAAUCCUGUGGGAAUCUGGGAGGACCAUCUUCCAAGGCUAAAUACUACUCAGCGACCGAUAGUGAACCAGUACCGUGAGGGAAAGGUGAAAAGUACCCCUGUGAGGGGAGUGAAAUAGUACCUGAAACCGUUUGCUUACAAGCUGUGGGAGGACGGUGGCCGGCCUCAAAGGCUAGUCCCUUUGGCCGGUCUGUCUGACCGCGUGCCUUUUGCAUAAUGAGUCAGUGAGUUACUUUACGUGGCGAGGUUAAGCCGUCAGGUGUAGCCGUAGCGAAAGCGAGUCUGAAUAGGGCGACGAGUCGCGUGGAGUAGACCCGAAGCCAGUUGAUCUAUCCAUGGCCAGGGUGAAGUCUCGGUAACACGAGAUGGAGGCCCGAACCCACUAAGGUUGAAAACUUAGGGGAUGAGCUGUGGAUCGGAGUGAAAGGCUAAUCAAAACUGGAGAUAGCUGGUUCUCCCCGAAAUGCAUUUAGGUGCAGCCUCGCAGGAUGAAUGGCGGAGGUAGAGCACUGGAUGGGCUAGGGGUCUCACCAGAUUACCAAACCCAACCAAACUCCGAAUGCCGUCAUAUUUACUGCGGGAGUGAGACUACGGGAGAUAAGUUCCGUGGUCGAAAGGGAAACAGCCCAGACCGCCAGCUAAGGUCCCUAAAUAUGUGCUAAGUGGGAAAGGAUGUGGAAGCGCUCAGACAACCAGGAGGUUGGCUUAGAAGCAGCCAUCCUUUAAAGAAAGCGUAACAGCUCACUGGUCAAGUGAGUCUGCGCCGAAAAUUCAACGGGGCUCAAGCACAUUACCGAAGCUGCGGGUUUCAUCCGCUUCACUAAGCCGAUGAAGCGAUUUUUCGUUGAAUCUGCGAGGUCCGACUUCUCGGACCGAGCAAAAUUCUUUUGGUGAAAGCAUCUUCUUUACCUGAUUGGUAGGGGAUUGCUUCACCGGUUUAGUGAAGCGGAUGGAGCGGUAGGGGAGCGUUGUAGUAACCGCUGAAGGCACACUGUAAGGAGUGCUGGAGGACCUACAAGAGACUAUGCUGACAUGAGUAGCGAUAAUGCGGGUGAAAAACCCGCACGCCGUAAGCCUAAGGUUUCCUGAGUAAAGCUAAUCUUCUCAGGGUUAGUCGGUCCCUAAGCCGAGGCCGAAAGGCGUAGGUGAUGGAAAACAGGUUAAUAUUCCUGUACCACCAAACAGGCAUUUGAGUGAUGGGGGGACGUAGAAGGGUAGGCCAUCCGGGUGAUGGACGUCCCGGUUUAAGCUGGUAGGUGGAGGCUCUAGGCAAAUCCGGAGCCUCGUUAACACCGAGAAGCGAUGAGGAGGGAUUUAUCCCACAAACUGGCUAAUCCCACGCUACCAAGAAAAGCCUCUAGCGAGUCCGUUUGGUGACCGUACUGCAAACCGACACAGGUAGGCAGGGAGAGUAUCCUAAGGCGCUUGAGAGAACCCUGGUUAAGGAACUCGGCAAAAUGACACCGUAACUUUGGGAGAAGGUGUGCCCUCAUUAGGUGAAACGACUUGCUCGUGGAGCCGAAGGGGGUUGCAGAGAAUAGGGGGUUGCGACUGUUUACUAAAAACACAGGACUCUGCGAAGUCGUAAGACGAUGUAUAGGGUCUGACGCCUGCCCGGUGCUGGAAGGUUAAGGGGAUGCGUUAUCCCGAUUCGUCGGGAGAAGCGUUGAACCGAAGCCCCAGUAAACGGCGGCCGUAACUAUAACGGUCCUAAGGUAGCGAAAUUCCUUGUCGGGUAAGUUCCGACCUGCACGAAUGGCGUAACGACAUCCCCGCUGUCUCAACCAGGGACUCAGCGAAAUUGUAAUCUCGGUGAAGAUACCGAGUACCCGCGGCAAGACGGAAAGACCCCGUGCACCUUUACUAUAGCUUGGCAUUGGCUUUUGGGCUAGCAUGUGUAGGAUAGGUGGGAGACGUUGAAAUGGGGACGCUAGUUUCCAUGGAGUCAACCUUGAAAUACCACCCUUGUUAUUCUAGAAGUCUAACCUUGGCCCGUUAUCCGGGUUAGGGACAGUGCCUGGUGGGUAGUUUGACUGGGGCGGUCGCCUCCUAAAGCGUAACGGAGGCGCGCGAAGGUUCCCUCAGGCUGAUUGGAAACCAGCCGUAGAGUGUAAAGGCAUAAGGGAGCCUGACUGCGAGACCUACAAGUCGAGCAGAGACGAAAGUCGGUCUUAGUGAUCCGGCGGUUCUGGAUGGAAGGGCCGUCGCUCAACGGAUAAAAGGUACGCCGGGGAUAACAGGCUUAUCUCCCCCAAGAGUUCACAUCGACGGGGAGGUUUGGCACCUCGAUGUCGGCUCAUCGCAUCCUGGGGCUGAAGCAGGUCCCAAGGGUUGGGCUGUUCGCCCAUUAAAGCGGUACGUGAGCUGGGUUUAAAACGUCGUGAGACAGUUUGGUCCCUAUCUGCCGUGGGCGCAGGAUAUUUGAGGGGAGCUGUCCCUAGUACGAGAGGACCGGGAUGGACGAACCUCUGGUGUACCAGUUGUCACGCCAGUGGCACCGCUGGGUAGCUAUGUUCGGAAGGGAUAACCGCUGAAAGCAUCUAAGCGGGAAGCCCACCCCAAGAUGAGAUAUCCCCUCUCUCUCGCUUCGGCGGGAGAGGCUGAAGGCCCCUCGUAGACUACGAGGUUGAUAGGUCGGGUGUGUAAGCGCAGCAAUGUGUUUAGCUAACCGAUACUAAUUGGCCGUGCGGCUUGACCAU